CAGUCGCCGCGGUAAUACGUAGGUCCCGAGCGUUGUCCGGAUUUAUUGGGCGUAAAGGGAGCGCAGGCGGUUUAGUAAGUCUGAAGUUAAAGGCAUUGGCUCAACCAAUGUAUGCUUUGGAAACUGUUAGACUUGAGUGCAGAAGGGGAGAGUGGAAUUCCAUGUGUAGCGGUGAAAUGCGUAGAUAUAUGGAGGAACACCGGUGGCGAAAGCGGCUCUCUGGUCUGUCACUGACGCUGAGGCUCGAAAGCGUGGGUAGCGAACAGGAUUAGAUACCCCAGUAGUCCCUGUCUCUUAUACA
This 301-nucleotide ribosomal RNA is filed under the name uncultured bacterium. Its description in RNAcentral is "partial 16S ribosomal RNA". It matches the Rfam family "Bacterial small subunit ribosomal RNA", at positions 509 to 808 of the family's 1533-position model. The record is from RNAcentral.